AUUGAACGCUGGCGGCAUGCCUUACACAUGCAAGUCGAACGGUAACAGGUCUUCGGAUGCUGACGAGUGGCGAACGGGUGAGUAAUACAUCGGAACGUGCCCAAUCGUGGGGGAUAACGCAGCGAAAGCUGUGCUAAUACCGCAUAAGAUCUACGGAUGAAAGCGGGGGAUCGCAAGACCUCGCGCGCAUGGAGCGGCCGAUGGCAGAUUAGGUAGUUGGUGGGGUAAAGGCCCACCAAGCCGACGAUCUGUAGCUGGUCUGAGAGGACGACCAGCCACACUGGGACUGAGACACGGCCCAGAAUCCUACGGGAGGCAGCAGUGGGGAAUUUUGGACAAUGGGCGCAAGCCUGAUCCAGCAAUGCCGCGUGCAGGAUGAAGGCCUCCGGGUUGUAAACUGCUUUUGUACGGAGCGAAAAGGUCUUCUCUAAUACAGGAGGCCCAUGACGGUACCGUAAGAAUAAGCACCGGCUAACUACGUGCCAGCCGCCGCAGUAA
RNAcentral lists this ribosomal RNA (498 nucleotides) under uncultured bacterium. RNAcentral's name for it is "partial 16S ribosomal RNA". It matches the Rfam family "Bacterial small subunit ribosomal RNA", at positions 30 to 523 of the family's 1533-position model. The record is from RNAcentral.